UACAGAGGUCUCAAGCGUUGUUCGGAUUCAUUGGGCGUAAAGGGUGCGUAGGCGGCGCGGUAAGUCGGGUGUGAAAUCUCGGGGCUUAACUCCGAAACUGCAUUCGAUACUGCCGUGCUUGAGGACUGGAGAGGAGACUGGAAUUCCUGGUGUAGCGGUGGAAUGCGCAGAUAUCAGGAGGAACACCGGUGGCGAAGGCGGGAUCCUGGGCCAGUACUGACGCUGAGGUGCGAAAGCGUGGGGAGCAAACAGG
This 253-nucleotide ribosomal RNA is filed under the name uncultured bacterium. Its description in RNAcentral is "partial 16S ribosomal RNA". It matches the Rfam family "Bacterial small subunit ribosomal RNA", at positions 524 to 776 of the family's 1533-position model. The record is from RNAcentral.